Bos taurus (domestic cattle) is the source of this 57-nucleotide non-coding RNA. The record is from Rfam. Lineage: Eukaryota; Metazoa; Chordata; Mammalia; Artiodactyla; Bovidae.
UGGCUUAGAUGGUAAAGUGUCUGCCUGCAAUGCAGGAGACUCAGGUUCGAUCCCUGG